This 351-nucleotide unclassified non-coding RNA is filed under the name soil metagenome. RNAcentral's name for it is "partial contains 5.8S ribosomal RNA, internal transcribed spacer 2, and large subunit ribosomal RNA". The stretch from base 1 to 119 matches the Rfam family "5.8S ribosomal RNA", at positions 35 to 154 of the family's 154-position model. The record is from RNAcentral.
GAUGAAGAACGUAGUGAAAUGCGAUAAGUAAUGCGAAUUGCAGAAUCCGUGAGUCAUCGAAUCUUUGAACGCACAUUGCGCCCUCUGGUAUUCCGGAGGGCAUGCCUGUUCGAGCGUCAUUAUCACCCCUCAAGCCCGGCUUGUUGUUGGAUGCAGCGCUUAUCCCGCUCCUCCCAAAGAUAAUGACGGCGUCUGCGACGACUCCUGUACACUGAGCUUUCGGGCACGUACACGGCUAGAAGUCCAGACCCGGUCGCCGUCCCCCCCCGCGGGGGACACCCAUUACCACAAGGUUGACCUCGGAUCAGGUAGGAAUACCCGCUGAACUUAAGCAUAUCAAUAAGCGGAGGA